Molecule: long non-coding RNA, 401 nt
Filed under: Anser brachyrhynchus (Pink-footed goose)
Lineage: Eukaryota; Metazoa; Chordata; Aves; Anseriformes; Anatidae
Description: lncRNA (ENSABRG00000012098.1)
Source: RNAcentral
AAUGCUUCCCUCAAAGCACACAGGGCUUGGCUUGGAAUAGUUGCAUCUUAGUUGGGCCAGAAAGAAUGUGCAAAUGUGCAAAUGGCUGGUCAACUAUCUGGGUGAUUUUCGGCAAGACAGAGGACCUACUGAUGCAUUGAAAGGGCAAAAGGCAGGAGAGGAUUGCCUGCUGCAGAUGACAAAGAAGAUUCAUGGAAAAAAUGAAAGGACAUUUGUGGAAGACUGAGCCCCACCAAACACGAUCCACUAGAUACAGUACUCAAUGACAACCUGGGAAAUGAGGCUGAGACACUCUUCCUGUGCCACUGGAAGGAUGGAAAACAAACCAAAUAUCUUGGAAUAAGAGCUGGUUUCCUGCAGAAUAAUAAUAAAAAAAGGCAGCUAUGCUGAAACCUAGAACA